Molecule: small nuclear RNA, 191 nt
Organism: Octopus sinensis (East Asian common octopus)
Lineage: Eukaryota; Metazoa; Mollusca; Cephalopoda; Octopoda; Octopodidae
Product: U2 spliceosomal RNA
Exons: 1
Source: RefSeq, a predicted model, not a curated record
AUCUCUCAUCUUUUUUGCUAAGAUCCAAAGCAUGGUAUCUGUUCUUAUCAGCUUGAUAUCUGAAAUGGUCCCUAUUUGGGGCCAUUGAUAUUAAACUGAUUUUGGAAUGAGGCAAAGAGUUAAGGGCCUGCACCGCCUUUGCUACGGGUUGGCCUGGUAUUGCAGUACUUCUGGGAUUCAGCCCUUCUACC